CGGAGGAUCCAAGCGUUAUCCGGAAUCAUUGGGUUUAAAGGGUCCGUAGGCGGGUUUAUAAGUCAGUGGUGAGAGCCCAUCGCUCAACGAUGGAACGGCCAUUGAUACUGUAGAUCUUGAAUUAUUAGGAAGUAACUAGAAUAUGUAGUGUAGCGGUGAAAUGCUUAGAGAUUACAUGGAAUACCAAUUGCGAAGGCAGGUUACUACUAAUGGAUUGACGCUGAUGGACGAAAGCGUGGGUAGCGAACAGGAUUAGAUACCCUGGUAGUCCACGCCGUAAACGAUGGAUACUAGCUGUUCGGAGCAAUCUGAGUGGCUAAGCGAAAGUGAUAAGUAUCCCACCUGGGGAGUACGUUCGCAAGAAUG
Molecule: ribosomal RNA, 366 nt
Filed under: uncultured organism
Description: bacterial SSU rRNA
Rfam family: Bacterial small subunit ribosomal RNA
Source: RNAcentral